RNAcentral lists this long non-coding RNA (42359 nucleotides) under Zea mays. Its description in RNAcentral is "long non-coding RNA (ZMAY_LNC003176)". Lineage: Eukaryota; Viridiplantae; Streptophyta; Magnoliopsida; Poales; Poaceae. The record is from RNAcentral.
AAAUCCAUCCUUGGCGCCAGAAAGUCAACUGGGAGAUGCCACCUAGAUCGAAUUGAACUCCUCGAUGUGUGGCUCCACCUGAACCACCUGUUCUUCUUCUGUGGGGGGUGUGAGACAGCAAGGGUGAGCUCACACAUGUUCAUCGCUCAACAAGUUGUGGGGAAUAAUGUGGCAUGAACUCACCAAAGGUGGAAGUUCAUGUGAUGUGUAAGGCUGAUCAAUAAUAGAGGUUCAAGCUGAGCACUGCUUUUAAUAAGUUGGUCAAAUUUUAUUAGUAGUUACUAAAUGUAAGUAAAUACCAAACCAUAAUAAAUAAUAAUAGAACAAAAUUAAUAAUAAAUCUCAUGUAAUGCAUAUGACAAAUUGAGUUUAAGUUUCAUAAUUUAAUCAUGCGAGAGCCCUGAGCUGCUCAUGACCGUGAGCUCGGCUAGUAUACCAGUUUUACACUCUGCAGAGGUUGUACCCUGUACCCACAAGUCGUGUAUCCCAUGUCGCCAGGGUUUGCAAGGCCCUUAGACACUACCGAGGUGAAUGGCUAGGGAUCCACUACAAGGCCUUUACAAAGUUCCAAUAGCUUCCGAAAACCCGCUACAGCUUAUGGGAAGAGCACUUGCAAGAAUCCCCCAUCUGACCGCCAUCACAGCAAAAUCAACCCGAGAACCUCCUUGCAUGCAACUCCCCUACUGCCCUUACCCCUUUCAGGUAAGGUAGUCUUCCACUAGCUUUCCUAAUUAGUCAGCCAAGGGCGUCCCAUUCCACCCUUGUGGUGGCACGUGUUUCUCAAGUUAAGCUCAAUGUUCCAAUUAACAUUAAUGAUCUUGACAUGAACAUAAAUAAAAUAACAACAUAAUUGGAACAUGGAUAUAAUGAAAUAUUAACCCAAAACCAUAUAAUGCAAUAGCAUAACUACCCAAGUGAAUCAGGGAUAAACCAGGUAAACAGGAUAAACAGACUAGGGCGACCUAUUGGGACCCAUCAAAAUUAAACCCAUGCAUUGAAUAAUGAUAAUAAAGAAUAUUAUUAGGUAACAGAAGUGAUCAAGGGCACAAUUUGCCUGGCACUUGAGAUUCCAGGUACCAGGGAUGAUUCUUCAAAUCCUCGUGACCUCACGCUAGUCGUAGCAAUACAAACAAACAUGGUAUAGACAAAAUUAACAUCACACCGUACAUAAGAAUAAAAUGGAUAAUAAUGAUGAUCUACGCGAAGCUACAAGAUCGUGGGAUCGAGAUCUACUAAGAUCAGAGUCAUAGUUAGGAGGUUAUGAUCUAUGGAAGAUUGUGGCAGCCCUCCCAAGUUAUCAGACCCUCAUGCACCAAUCCUUGCCUUGAUGGCCUCAGAUGGCUAUGCACGUGUACCAGGUAACAUAAAAAGGCUAUCACGAGUUCAACCACUUGAACUCAUCAUCCCAAGGAUCUCCCACCAUACAUGCAUAUUAGAGUAAUCACGUUCGAUACACACACUUUGGAGAUAAGAGCGGAAGACUUUACAAACAAUCUUUACUGUUGAGGACAUCACUAUGAGUACGACUACACCAGCAGCACCUCCACAUCAAGCGCCACUUCCUUCAUUAGCUGGGCCAAUCACUCGGGCCCGUGCCAGAGAUCUUAACUUCGUCAUGCUACUAAAGAAUGAGGGCCCAGAAGAAUAGACGACCAGCCCAACUGCGGCCCAUAGUGGACGACCUAGGGUUGGCCGCCCCUAGGGGCUGCGCCCCCUCUAUUUAUCCAGGAGCUACGCCUCCUUUAUUCUCGAGUUUUGUUUUACGUUAGCCUUAGCUACUCUCGAACACGCGCAAAUCUGCGCUGUAUUCGUGUAUUCAGAACUCCACCCUCGAGUAAUAGAUUAGAUUGCUCGUAUCUUGUUCUUGUUCGUUCUUCGAUUGCGCACAGGAAACGAUCUUCGUGAUCAGGCCGAUCUCGCAUCAGCAAGGUCGGUAACCAUAGGGAGUUGGUUCAGCGAUUGCAUUGGCGCCUCGGGCUUGCUCGUCGUAGUCGGAUCGCAAGGGUCAUCUUCCGCCAAAUCGUAAUUAUCUCUACUCGCCGAAAGAUCGGGCACCUCAGCUACAUCAAUUGGUAUCAGAUUUCCAGGUUGAUCGGUGAGUUUAUCGAGCGUUUUUUUCCUACAGUCCACAAAACCACAUAAAAAUUCAGAUUAGAUCUUAUCCCAGCACCCUUUUGAGCCUCGCACUUUCUUUCAAUAAUCUGCAUUGUUGAAUUUGUGUGCUUUCGCGUUUCCUUGUUGCUGGUUGCAUUGUGUUCUUCCACCAUUCAAAUCCUAGCGCCGCCACCAUCUCCCGUUUGAUCACGCCACAAACCGAGUCAACAUCGUCUCCUUGUUUUUCUCCUUCGGUUACGUCAAAAAGAAAACAGAAAAAACAAACCGAGUCAACGGCCGUUUCCUUGUUUUUCUCCUUCGGUUACGAAAAAAAACAGAAAAAAAAACAAACCGAGUCAACAACCGCUUCCUUGUUUUUCUCCUUCGGUUACUCAAAAAAAACAGAAACAAAAAAAAGAAAACGAAGGAGAAAGGAUACGGUUGUUUCAUUCCGGUCGUUUUUAAAACAUAACUUGAGGUACCUUCCGUAAAACGGGCAUAACUUUUCGCUCGGGUGUCCAAAAAAUCUGAAAUUUUUACAGGAGCUUGUUGACACCAUUCUGAGCCCGGCCAAACUCACCUUCGGUCUGUUUGGUUUCGACAAAAUUGUCAAAAAAUUCAGGAAAAUAAAGAAAAAAAUUCGUCAAAGUUCUCGCACGCUUUUCAGAGAACUUCCUGAUUUUCUGUAGACCACAUCUGAUUUCUGCUUUAGGUGAAACUUCGUGUAGCUCCUAUUUUGUUGCUUCUUGUGCUGAGAAAAAUAUCAAAAAAAUCAUACAAAAAAAGAAAAACAAAAUCACUUGUGAUUCCUACUAGUGGCCUCGCUAGUACAAUAUUUACGGUACUGCCAUUCUGCUAGUUCCAUCCGUCCUUUGCACUUGUGGCCAGCAAUAUAGUUUCGUGUUUUGCACUAUAAUUCAACUUUGCAUUAUUGUUUGAUCGUGCUAAUCCUUGACUUGAGUGCAGCCUACCCAAAACUCCACAUAUUUCUACGACGAGAAGGUUUCUGUUUCUCCAGGCAAUCGCUAAUCCAAUCUUUCACCGGUUCCACCUGUUGGUUGCAGUUCACCACUGUGGUUUGGUAAGAACGGAUAAGAACUUGAUAACAGCACUAUUGUGAGCGCCUUGUGAGCAGUACACCCCUGUUUUUGUCGUUGGUUUUUCUCCUUUUGGUGUUUUGGUGUUUGCGCUAACUAUGGCAGGAGCACACGACAUGGUGGAUGCCCAGUUGCAGGAAGUCAGGGGACAAGUUGAUGGACUUGCUGCUGACAUUAGAACGAUGCAUGAACGGCUUGAUUCAACGGUCACUUCGACGACCGAGCGUUUCAACCAACUUGACCUUGCUCAAACGGCGACUCGCACCACACUCGACACCAUCCUGGCACGCCUUGAUGCAUUGACCACAAAGAUGGAGCAAGAAUACGGCGGUGACACUGAGCAGGACGAUGGAGAUCGCCGUGGUCGUGCACGUCGUGUGGUUCGUCAUCCCCCUAAUGACUUAUUUUCUAAGAUUAAAUUUAAAAUUCCAUCUUUUAAUGGUAAAUAUGAUCCUGCUGCAUAUCUUGAUUGGGAAUUGGAGGUAGAACAGAAAUUUUCAUGCCAUGAUAUUCCUGCUAAUAGCCAAGUGAAGGCUGCCAUUAGUGAAUUUACUGAUUUUGCUUUAAUUUGGUGGCGUGAGUAUAAACAAAAACUUCCCAUUAACAGUGUCAUUACUUGGACCCAAUUAAAAACUGCCAUGCGCCACAGAUUUGUUCCUUCCUAUUAUGCUCGUGAUUUGCUUAACAAAAUGCAGUGUUUUCAACAAGGUUCACAAUCUGUUGAGGAAUAUUACCAGGAGUUGCAAAAGGGUAUGCUUCGUUGUGGUUUGGUUGAGUCAGAUGACGCUGCUAUGGCGCGUUUUCGUGGUGGUUUAACAGGGAAAUUCAGGAUAUACUUGAUUAUAAGGAUUAUUUUGAUAUAACCACAUUGUUUGAAUAUGCUUGCAAAGCUGAACGUGAAGUGCAGGGACGACGAUCAAAGACAUAUACUAACUCUUUUGCAGGCCGGGGUCCAACACACAGCUCAACUCCUUCCAGCCCUGCACCUUCUACGCCUAGCACUACAUCGCGCACAGGGACGACCAAGCCAGUGGCGCCCCCUGCCAAAGGCGCCGCUUCUUCCACAGGACGUACACGGGAUAUUCAGUGCCAUCGUUGCAGAGGGUUUGGGCACAUGAUUCGGGACGGCCCAAACAAGCAUACCUUGCUUAUACGUGACAAUGGUGAGUACUCUUCAGCUAGUGAUUCUGAGGAAACUAGUCAUGCUAUGAUUGCCACUAACCAUGCAGAAAAUGAGGAAGUCCACGUUGAUCCCAUCGACGCCGAUAGGUAUGAGAGUCUUGUUGUGCAGCGUGUUCUCAGCACACAGGUUGCCCAGGCCGAAAAAAAUCAGCGACACACUCUAUUCCAUACCAAGGGCGUCGUGCACGAACGGUCGAUUCGCAUCAUCAUCGAUAGUGGCAGCUGCAACAAUUUGGCAAGUACAGCGUUGGUAGAGAAAUUAUCCUUGCCCACUCGCACACAUCCACAUCCGUAUCACAUUCAAUGGCUUAAUGAUGGUGGUAAAAUAAAGGUAACACGUUCGGUACGUGUCCCCUUUUCGCUGGGUUCUUAUUCUGAUUAUGCUGAUUGCGAUAUUAUUCCUAUGGAAGCAUGCUCUUUGUUAUUAGGUCGACCUUGGCAAUAUGAUACUGAUAGUUUACAUCAUGGUCGUUCAAAUCAUUAUUCUUUCAUGUUUAAAGGCCAGAAAAUAAUUAUACAUCCAAUGACCCCUGACCAAAUUUUGAAAGAUGAUCUUACUAGGGCUGCUAAAACUGCACAACAAGUCAAAUCGACAUCAGCCGCACCUAUUAAAUCUGAAAUCAAGUUGCACUCUCCUGUUUUACUUGCUACACGUGCUGAUUUUGAUGAUCUCCAUGAAGCUCAUAUGCCCUGUUAUGCACUUGUAUGCUCGCGAAUGCUUGUUCCGCUUGAUGAUGCACCGUCUUUGGAUAUACCCCCUGCUGUUGUUAACCUUUUGCAGGAGUAUGCUGAUGUUUAUCCUACGGACUUACCACCGGGUCUUCCUCCCCUCCGUGGCAUUGAGCAUCAGAUCGAUCUCAUCCCCAGCGCUUCUCUUCCGAACCGCGCCCCGUACCGUACAAAUCCAGAUGAGACGAAGGAGAUCCAGCGCCAGGUGCAGACGCUGCUUGAUAAGGGUUACAUUCGUGAGUCUCUUAGCCCUUGCUCGGUUCCUGUUUUACUCGUUCCAAAGAAAGAUGGGUCAUGGCGUAUGUGCGUAGAUUGUCGUGCUAUUAAUAACAUCACAGUUCGUUAUCGAUAUCCUAUUCCACGCCUUGAUGAUAUGCUAGAUGAGCUUAGUGGUGCCGUUAUUUUCUCUAAGGUUGAUUUGCGUAGCGGUUACCAUCAGAUUAGAAUGAAACUCGGUGAUGAAUGGAAAACGGCUUUUAAAACGAAAUUUGGUUUAUAUGAAUGGUUGGUUAUGCCAUUUGUAUUGACUAAUGCUCCCAGCACCUUUAUGCGUUUAAUGAACGAAGUUCUACGGGCCUUCAUAGGUUUGUUUGUUGUUGUUUAUUUCGAUGAUAUCCUUAUUUACAGCAAGUCUAUAGAGGAGCAUUUAGAACAUUUGCGUGCUGUUUUUGACGCUUUGCGUGCUGCUCGCUUGUUUGGUAACAUGGAAAAGUGCACAUUUUGCACGCAACGUGUCUCGUUUCUUGGUUAUGUGGUUACUCCGCAGGGCAUUGAGGUGGAUAGCAGCAAGAUUGCUGCCAUUCGGGAGUGGCCUACACCGACGACGGUCACACAAAUUCGGAGCUUUCUUGGACUUGCCGGUUUCUACCGCAGAUUUGUUCGUGAUUUUAGCUCCAUUGCAGCGCCUCUACAUGAGCUUACAAAGAAAGAUGUGUCGUUUGCUUGGAGUGAUUCGCAGGAGUUAGCGUUCAGCACUUUGAAAGAUAAGUUAACCCAAGCUCCCCUCUUGCAAUUGCCUGAUUUUAAUAAAGUUUUUGAGCUUGAAUGCGAUGCUAGCGGUAUUGGGCUAGGUGCUGUUUUGUUACAAUAAGGAAAACCAGUUGCUUAUUUUAGUGAAAAAUUAAGCGGUGCUAGUCUGAAAUAUUCUACUUAUGAUAAGGAGCUUUACGCUUUAGUGCGCACUUUGCAUACUUGGCAGCACUAUCUUUGGCAUCGUGAGUUCAUAAUUCAUUCUGAUCAUGAGGCUUUAAAACAUAUUCGUACCCAAACAAAUCUGAACCGUCGUCAUGCUAAAUGGGUCGAAUUCAUUGAGUCCUUUCCUUACAUUAUUAAACACAAGAACGGGAAGGACAAUGUUAUUGCUGAUGCUUUGUCUCGUCGCUAUACCAUGCUGUCACAAUUAGAUUUUAAAAUCUUUGGUUUGGACACUGUGAAGGAUCAAUAUGUUGACGAUGCUGAUUUUAAAGAUGCUUUCGGCCAUUGUAUUAAUGGGAUACCAUGGGGCAAAUUUCACAUACAUGAUGGGUUCCUGUUUCGCGCUAACAAGCUGUGUGUUCCAGCUAGCUCGGUUCGUCUUUUGUUAUUACAGGAAGCGCAUGGAGGCGGUCUCAUGGGGCAUUUUGGCGUCUACAAAACGCAUGAGGUGUUGGCUGCCCAUUUCUUUUGGCCUCGGAUGCGCGCUGAUGUGGAGCGCCUUGUUGCACGCUGCACUACUUGUCAGAAAGCUAAGUCACGGUUGAACAACCAUGGUUUGUAUAUGCCUUUGCCUGUCCCUUCUUCUCCUUGGCUUGAUAUCUCUAUGGACUUUGUUUUGGGCUUGCCUAGAACUAAGAAGGGGAGGGAUAGUAUUUUUGUGGUUGUUGAUAGAUUCUCUAAAAUGGCUCACUUUAUACCUUGUCAUAAAACUGAUGAUGCUAGCAUUGUUGCUGAAUUGUUCUUUAGAGAAAUUAUUCGUUUACAUGGUAUUCCAAAAACAAUAGUCUCUGAUCGCGAUGCUAAGUUUCUAAGCCAUUUUUGGAGAUCUCUUUGGAAUAAAUUGGUAACUAAAUUGUUGUUUAGCACUACUUGUCACCCUCAGACUGAUGGACAAACUGAGGUAGUAAAUAGAACUUUAUCUACCAUGCUUAGGGCUGUUUUAGACAAGAAUUUGAGACGUUGGGAGGAUUGCUUGCCUCAUGUUGAAUUUGCUUACAAUCAUGCCACGCAUUCUUCUACAAAGAUGUGCCCUUUCCAGAUUGUUUAUGGUUACAUCCCUAGGGCACCUAUUGAUUUGAUUUCACUUAAUGCUGCGAACGCCCCACAUGUAGAUGCUGCUGCACAUGUUGAACAAAUGGUUACCAUACAUGAACAAACGAAACAGAACAUUGCUGCUACUAAUGCUAAAAAUCAGGUUGCUGGUAGUAAAGGAAGAAAACAUGUUACUUUUGAGCCAGGUGAUAUGGUUUGGUUGCACUUGAGAAAGGAUCGGUUUCCUACUUUGCGUCGUUCUAAAUUAAUGCCUCGUGCUGCUGGUCCUUUUAAGGUGCUAACAAAGAUUAAUGAUAAUGCUUAUAUCCUUGACCUGCCUGCAGAAUUUGGUGUUUCCACUAGUUUUAAUGUUGCAGAUUUGAAACCAUAUAUGGCCGAGGAUGAGGAGUUGUCGUCGAGGACGACUUCACUUCAAGAAGGGGAGGAUGAUGAGGACAUCACUAUGAGUACGACUACACCAGCAGCACCUUCACAUCAAGCGCCACUUCAUUAGCUGGGCCAAUCACUCGGGCCCGUGCCAGAGAUCUUAACUUCGUCAUGCUACUAAAGAAUGAGGGCCCAGAAGAAUAGACGACCAGCCCAACUGCGGCCCAUAGUGGACGACCUAGGGUUGGCCGCCCCUAGGGGCUGCGCCCCCUCUAUUUAUCCAGGAGCUGCGCCUCCUUUAUUCUCGAGUUUUGUUUUACGUUAGCCUUAGCUACUCUCGAACACGCGUAAAUCUGCGCUGUAUUCGUGUAUUCAGAACUCCACCCUCGAGUAAUAGAUUAGAUUGCUCGCAUCUUGUUCUUGUUCGUUCUUCGAUUGCGCACAGGAAACGAUCUUCGUGAUCAGGCCGAUCUCGCAUCAGCAAGGUCGGUAACCAUAGGGAGUUGGUUCAGCGAUUGCAUUGGCGCCUCGGGCUUGCUCGUCGUAGUCGGAUCGCAAGGGUCAUCUUCCGCCAAAUCGGAAUUAUCUCUACUCGCCGAAAGAUCGGGCACCUCAGCUACAUCAUUUACCUUUUCAAAACUCAAGUUUUACAUGUUUCGAAAGAGUAAUAUUUAUUACAAGUCCUGAUAUACUCAAAGUGCAUAAUUUAUUACAAAAGCAGGAAGGUAGAAACCCUCCAAAGCUCAUACAUAAACCUAGCUAGUCCUCCUCUAGAACUGGAAACGCCCUCCAGCCACAGGAACAACUAGAGUACUUCUCAUCACCUACAACAACAUGGGUUCGAAAACCCUGAGUACGGAGUGUACUUUCGCAAGUCUUACCCGACUAAGGAAAAUGACUCUCAAGGAUAUGCUGGUUAAAUAGGAAUCAAAGAAAAGGCUUUAGCAAGAAUCAACUUAGAUACUUUUGCAGAAAUAGCUUACUAAAGUGAGUCCUUACUUUCAAUAUUUUAAUGCCAGAUUAAAUAUUAAUAGACUCUGGUUGCAUCUAGUCUAAUUUCACCAUCUCAUCAAUACAACAUCAUUUUUACUCAUAAUGUUUACAUCCUGACUUAGGUUGUAGGUCGGAGAUCAAGUCUCCACUCUCCGGGGAUAUAACGGCGAUCCGAAUCGAUUUACUCAACUGAGGAUCUCUAACCACACGACAUAUGUUUCUUGUAACUCUUGCAUAUGUCUACCAUUCCCACGGAUCCUCCACUGCAUGAACAGGUCCGCGCCACCCAAGAGCACACCAUCCUUUUUAGGCGGUCCUUUGCCAGGAGGGUACGUGCCACUCUCGCCAUCUCUCCACUCCCAGUGCGCGAUUGUCUUUUCAUGUAUGGAAUAGCCGGGUUCAAGCUUACCCUGUCCCAUAUCCAGGGCAUGUGGCCAGUUAAGAUAGUCCUUGAUCAUACAGGCCUACAUACGCAUCCAAUCCUUAAUUAACCUGGGUAGAACAUCACUUGUUCCUAGCCCAAGUCCUGAUUUAAGUACUUCUAUCCUUAGGAUUGUUUGUGUUCCUUAGGAUGAAAACAACAUUAUAGGGAACUUUGCAGUAAGAUCCCACCAUGCUCCCAAUAAAAAUAUUCUUGCAGGUAGAAGCUGUCCUUCCUCAGGAUAACCCGUGAGCUAGGCAUUAAUGCAAAAGACAACCUCUAUCCACAAGAUCUAAGCAGGGCUAAGCAUUUUUUUGUAAAUCAUAUUUUGAUACUUCAUCAGAAGUAUCUAUAAAGGUAUGGAUAUCAAGGUAGGCAAUGCAUCCAAUAGUUUUCAAGCAACUCCUAUAAACUUAAUGCACAUUUCACUAGAUUUAAAGUGUAUAAAAAUCUUUUAAAAACAUAAGGAAGGGGUUGCAUGCACCGGGGCUUGCUAUUGGGGGCCUUCGUCUUCCGAAGGUCCUCAAAAACAUGAUUUAACAAUGUUUCUGGAGUGUAUUACAUGACCAGGUAUCUUCGGACUUGGAGCAGAACCACAGUGUGAGAAGCACAAAGAAUACAAUGGUUGACAAAGAGCCGAAGCUAUGCGCAAGGGACCUUCGGCAUGAUAGCAGAAAAGGGAACCGACUUAAAAGGGAAAAGGCUAUUUGGACCUCGGUGGAUCACUAUAGAGUCAUUAACAAAUGUAAAGGGCAUGGGUGUAAUUUUACAUGGGCUGUGUCCCGUGCCUAUAAAUAGAUGAACAAUGUUCAUGUACUGUUCACGCUGACUUGGCAUUUGCUUUUGCGUCACGCUUGUAUCCUUACCUUCUUUCAAGCCGAAGGUACAUUUGUAACUUGAUAUCAUUUCUAUUUUUCUAUGAUAAUAAAAUAGAAAUAAGUUGAUAAUAAUAUACAAUUAUUCAUGUGUCUUUUACAUCUCAUAUGAUUCUCUUUUCAUUAUCAUAUGCUGCACUGAUGAAGGUAUGUCCUUCACAACCUUCGUCCGAACAUCAUUAUAUCCUAAGGGAAAAAUAAUGCCCCGAAGGACGAAGGUCAUUAGCGUUUAACAUUUUUUGUGUUGCCUUGUUCUUAAUUCAUAGCAUUUGAGAACAAGUCCCCAACACUUGCCUUAUUGCAGGAGAAGAUCCAAAGUCCUUCUAUCACAAUAACCAGUUAGAUGGAACCAACCACUGGAUCUACAGCACUGGAGCAAACUCCUCUUCAGGAACCACUUCUUGAAUUUCAACUUCCUUUUUUGGGAGCUCUACACGAAAUGAUAUGAAUAUGAAUGCUUAUGCUUUUGUAAUUUGCAACGAAGAUAGCAAAACAACUCUCUAGACUAUACCAAAAUCCAUGGUCUUUUAUGUAAACUUGUUUCUUCACCAACUAAUUCCUUUCAUCCACUAACCGCACCACUAUGAUUCACACGCACAUCACAAAGCCCAAGCUGAUGGUGUGAACCACAAGCCAGCUAUAAACAGUCGCGAACAAUCUUUCCUGGGACAUAAAACUAUGCUACCGAUUAAUCCAAACACACACGCAACCAUGCCAGUAGAGAUCAAACAACCAGUUCAAUGAGUUUCACCCGUAAGUAUAGAUACUAGAACACUACACAGAAACCAUGGAAUCGUACCGUGUUAUCCCAACUACGGGAGGGCAGGAACAACCCCGGGCAUGGUCACCACAGCCAGUGGCAAGUAUGUUUCCAACAAAACCAAGGGUACCAGAUGGCUGAGAGGUGUUAGGGGUGACGUGGGUGUAGAUGAGUAGCAAGGCACAUAGGGGAAACCAGGAAAUCGUCGAGAGCACAAGCAAUUCAGUUUGGGCUCCAAACUAGCAUAACAAGAGGUGGCUUGAUGGAGGUCGGGCUGGGGCUAUUUCAGAGGGGAAAUGAGAAUUAACAAUCCCCAACACACACCUGCAUGUCUACCACGCAAGAUGGAAGCACAGGGGAAAAGUCUAGCACACCUUUACUGCAUGUAUGACACCUCAUCAACAGUGAAGCAGUUGAAUCAUCCAAGAGAUAGGCUUUACACCCUUCCUGCAUCUAUCCUUGGGGUGGUGAAUUGAUGAGGACAUCACUUCUAUACAUACAAUGAAUGCACGACAGCUAAAUCUCCAGGUACGUUCUACCCUAGUCAAUUGUGUUUCAGAGCUUACGCUUGGGGCCAUGGAUGUUUUGAUGAUUAGGAACCUUGGAGAGGACCAGAAAGGACUUGGGAAAGGCCUAGAGGAGGAGGAGCAAGGGCGCCACAAUAGGAAGAAGAUCAAGUCCGACUCGGCUGCGACUCCAUCUCGGGUUCCAGGACCAGUCUGCACUAAAAUGGACGCCCAAGAUGCAUCUGGACUCCGAUUGCAACAGACUUGAUAUGGUUGGAAAGAUAAGGAGAUUAUCUAACCAACCCAACUGGUUCCACCCUAAAAUUCAUCCGGAAUCAACAGGAAUCGUCGAAACAAGUCAGCGUUCAGAUUCUGUUUUGGUGCUGCGACACCGUCUGUUGGGCCGUUGGGCCGUGUAUCGCGUCGGAGCCCAUUAGGGGUGAGUCCAGGGGUCAUGCACGCCCUAAUACUCUAUUUAUUCAGCAGCUGCCGCCAUAUUAGUAGGGUUGGGUUUUGCUUAAGUUUAGAUCUGUCAAGAACAGUCGUCGUAGAUCGGUUUGUGAGACCCCAACUUGUGAGCUUAAUUUUUCAUCCGCAAUAUUCUAGAUUGUGUUCUUUCUUGUUCUUGCUUGUGUCUUUGAUUCCCAAGCAGGAAUUAGCCCUCGUGGCGAGGUCAAUCGCGCAGUGCACGGUUGAUAACCAGAGGAGAAGUGGUGCUGCGAUUACGGGGUUCUAGUCGUGUUGAUUGGAAGCCGGAUCGUUUGUGUGACAUCUCCACCAAAUCGAUAGUUACCUUCACCUGACGGAAGAUCGGGCACCCCUGUUCCUAUCAAGUGGUAUUCAAAGACUCAGGUAUUACCGUCAGGCUUACCCUAGUUUAGUUUAUGUUUUUUUAAUCCUAUAACUCUAGAUAAUUGCCAUACAAAAAAAAAUUCGCUGUCCUAUAACCCUUGUUUAGCCUUUGCAAUUUCGUUUUCAGUUUGGCUUUGUUCAGUUCGUGUCCGUGGUCGAGUCGAGUUGCUGGUUUAGGGUGUAUCUUCGUCGUAGAUCAACUGCCCUCGCUAGCCACUAUCCCAUCCACCACUACCCAGAUCACACGUCGAUCCACCCAUUAAUCGACUUGCCCUCGCUAGCCGCCGCCGUGCCAGCCCUAGAUAGAUUGCAGAUACGCCGCUAUCCCAUCCACCAUUACCCAGAUCACAAGUCGAUCCACCCCAUUAAUCGACUUGCUCUAACCGUUGUGAUUGCAGAUAGGGAAUUUUUUGCCCUAACCACCGCUUUCUAGUCGUGCCUCCAAAAACAUAACUUGAGGUACCUUCCUUAAACCGGGCAUAACUUUUCGCUCGGGUGUCCAAAAAAUCUGAAAUUUUUACAGGAGCUUGUUGACACCAUUCUGAGGCCAGCCAAACUCGCCUACGGCCUGUUUGGUUUUGAUAAAAUUGUCAAAAAAAUUCAGGAAAAUAAAGAAAAAACUUUGUCAAAGCUCUUGCACGCUUUUCAGAGAACUUGCUCAUUUUCUGUAGACCACAUCUGAUCUCUGAUUUAGGUGAAACUUGGUGUAGCUCCUAUUUUGUUGCUUCUUGUGCUGACAAAAAUAUCAAAAAAUCAUACAAAAAAGAAAAGCAAAAUUACCAUUGAAUCCUACUAGUGCCUUUUUGGCAUCGCGAGUACAACAUUUACGGUACUGCCAUUCUGCUAUUUCCAUUGUUCUUUGUUCCAACUUGUUGUGAUAUGCCUCGGAUACAUCUCUUAGCCAGCAAUUGUGACUUGUGCUUUGGAUAUUUAUUGAACUUCGCUCAUCUGCACUCGAUUUUGUUUCACAUUCACAUACAUAUUGUGCUUGUCCUAUAGCUCCACAUACUAUAUCUUCUGAUCAAUACAGAUUUGACCUUGCAAUCGCGGUUUCACUAUCUCUUGGUAAGUAUCACGAACCAACCUCCGAUUGUACCAUCCUUUGCUUGUAUUUCGUCAAACACUUGUAAGAGCUUGGUAAGAUACAUUAAAGUGUGUUCCUGUGUUAUACCUGAGAGGAGCGUGUAGUGAAAUUAUUAGGGAUAACCGUCACCGUUUGUUUCCUGUUUUUGUGUUUUGAUGGUAGGCGACGAAGAAGAAGCAAGGAUCCCUACAGACUUCGAUGAAUGUGUUAGCCGCCAAGAUCUUGAGGCAAAAAACAAUCUCCUGAAGGAGCAAAUGGAGGAGACGGUCCACAAGUCAGUGCAUGAUGCCUUCAUUGACAUGAACCUUGGCAAGACUUACGAGAGGUUGGAUCGACGAUUGUCCCAGAUCGUCGACAGACUUGCUGUGUUGGAGACGCAACAACAAGCACCACCACCACCACCUCCUCGUCCACGACUUCCCGAUGAUGCGGUGUUUGAUGAAGAAGGUAAUUAUGAUUAAGCGGCCACCAGAGAUUUGCGCCUACGUCGCCGCCUUCAUCAAAACAUAGAAGGUAUGCCACACCAACACCGCCAGCAAGGUAAUAACAAUUACCAUCUUUUUCGGGUCAUUAUGAUGCUGAGGGAUAUCUUGAUUGGGAGAUGACGAUAGAACAGAAAUUUGCUGCCCACCUUGUACCCGAACAACAUCAAGUUAGACAAGCCACUAGUGAAUUUAAAGAUUUUGCUAUUGUCUGGUGGACUGGUCUAGUUGGGGAUGGUAGAGCACCUACGACUUGGGAAGAUCUUAAGGUAGCUAUGCGCGGUAGAUUUGUUCCCCCAUCUUAUCAUAGAGAAUUGCGUAAGAAAUUGAUGCGUUUAGAGCAAGGGGAUAAAUCUGUUCAAGAUUAUUAUGCUGAGCUUCAGAAGGGAUUGCAGCGUUGUGGGAUAGUAGAGGGACAUGAGGACGCUCUUUGUCGUUUUUAUUCAGGUUUGCGGCGUGACAUUCAGGACAUUGUGGAUUACAAAGAAUUUAACAUUGUCAACAAGUUGUUCCAGUUUGCUAUGCUUGCAGAGAAGGAAUUGCAGGGACGCCAACAUCGACCUAGGGCUACUUUUGGCGCCUCCUCUGCACCACGGAUGCACACACCUGCCUCAAGUCAUACUCCCUCGACACCUGCUGCACACGUUGGUAACCUUCCUUUGUAGGUACCCACCAAGAAACAGAAUUCACCAGCACCUGCAACACCUUCCAGUGGUCGUUCUUCGGGUAUUGUUUGCCACCGCUGUCAUGGAAUUGGUCACGUGAAGAAGGAUUGCCCGAGUCAGCGAACAUACAUUGCUACGGAUGAUGGCUACAUUAGUGCUUCCGACGGUGAGGGUGAUGAUGAUGACUCCAGUGAUGUUGCUGCUAAUGAUGAUGUCAUGCUUGGUGCUGAUGCUACGGUGAACCUUCGAAGCAUCAUGGUGCAGCGUGUUCUUAGUUCUCAGCCUGAAUCAUAAGAGAAGCAGCAACGCAAUAAUUUGUUCUAGACUUUCUUCUCCAUCGAGAAUCGGCGUGCACGUGUUAUUAUUGAUGGUGGAAGCUGCAAUAAUUUGGUGAGUUCAGAUUUGGUCAAGAAGCUUGGCUUGACCACACGUCCACGGCCACAUCCAUACCACAUUCAGUGGAUCAAUGAUUCAGGCAAGGUUAAGGUAACACACAUGGUACGAGUGCAUUUCUCCAUUGGUAUGUAUUCUGAUUAUGCGGAUUGUGAUGUAGUACCUAUGGAAGCUUGUUCUCUUUUGUUGGGUAGACCUUGGGAAUAUGAUACUGAUGCAUGUCACCAUGGUAGGAGUAAUACAUACACUUUUAGGCAUAAAGAUAAAAACAUUACUUUGCUACCUUUGACUCUUACUGAAAUUGUACAAGCUGAUAAAGAUAGAGCUGCAAGUACCCAUAAGGAACCAACUAAUGAGACAGAAAUUCAGCAACAAAUUAAAUUGAAAUCUCCUAUCAUGCUUGCUACUAAAUCUUAUCUUCUUGAAACUCAUGCUACUGAUGCUUGUUGCUAUGCCUUGGUUUGCAAAGAUGCUUUUCUUUUCUAUUGAUGAUAUUGCUAGCAUUUUGUCUACAUUUGUGACUAAUCUUUUGUAGCAGUUCCGAGAUGUUUUUCCCUCUGAGUUACCUCCAGAACUUCCUCCCAUUCGUGGGAUUGAGCACCAGAUUGAUUUGAUUCCUGGAGCGAGCUUGCCCAACCGUGCUGCUGGACCAUUUAAAAUUUUCGAGAAGAUUAAUGACAAUGCAUAUAAACUUGAGUUGCCCCCAGAGUUUGGGAUUAGUCCCACCUUUAAUAUCAGAUUUAAAUCCAUAUUUGGGAAAAGAAGAUGAGCUUGAGUCGAGGGCGACUCCACUUCAAGAGGGGGAGGAUGAUGAGGACAUGGAUGUGUUUCCCUCUGAGAUACCCCCUGGAUUACCACCUGAGUUGCCUCUAGAUUUUCGGGUUAGUCCCACCUUUAACAUUUCAGAUUUGAAGCCAUAUAUGGGUGACGAAGAUGAGAUCGAGUCGAGGACGACUCCAAUUCAAGAGGAGGAGGAGGAUGAGGACAUCACUUCUAUACAUACAAUGAAUGCACGACAGCUAAAUCUCCAGGUAUGUUCUACCCUAGUCAAUUGUGUUUCAGAGCUUACGCUUGGGGCCAUGGAUGUUUUGAUGUUUAGGAACCUUGGAGAGGACCAGCAAGGACUUGGGAAAGGCCUAGGUGUUGAGGAGGAGCAGCAAGGGCGCCACAACAGGAAGGAGAUCAAGUCCGACUCGGCUGCGACUCCAUCUCGGGUUCCAGGACUAGUCUGCACUAAAAUGGACGCCCAAGAUGCAUCCAGACUCCGAUUGCAACGGACUUGAUAUGGUUGGAAAGAUAAGGAGAUCAUCUAACCAACCCAACUGGUUCCACCCUAAAAUUCGUCCAGAGUCAACGGGAAUCGUCGAAACAAGUCAGCGUUCAGAUUCUGUUUUGGUGCUGCGACACCGUCUGUUGGGCUGUGUAUCGCAUCGGAGCCCAUUAGGGGCGAGUCCAUGGGUCAUGCACGCUCUAAUACUCUAUUUAUUCAGCAGCUGCCGCCACAUUAGGGUUGAGUUUUGCUUAAGUUUAGAUCUGUCAAGAACAGUCGUCGUAGAUCGGUUUGUGAGACCCCAACUUGAGAGCUUAAUUUUUCAUCCGCAAUAUUCUAGAUUGUGUUUUUUCUUGUUCUUGCUUGGGUCUUCGAUUCUCAGGCAGGAAUUAGCCCUCGUGGUGAGGUCAAUCGCGCAGUGCAUGGUUGAUAACUAGAGGAGAAGUGGUGUUGCGAUUGCGGGGUUCUAGUCGUGUUGAUUGGAAGCCGGAUCGUUUGUGUGACAUCUCCACCAAAUCGAUAGUUACCUUCACCUGACGGAAAAUCGGGCACCCCCGUUCCUAUCAUGAUUUUUGACAAUAAACUUUCCAUUCUCAUAAGUCUCUUUUGGGCUGGCAUAUCCUAGAAUUCCCUAUAUCAAUUUGGUGGAUGGAGAUACUUUCAUCAGAUUAUUCUAAAACUGCUCCUGCUGUUCUACUCGACUGAAACCUCAAGUUCAGCUCCCCUUUUUAUUACCUCAAAUAACCAGCAAAGAAACUUUAAUGCCCCCAACACACAAAUAUCACUUGGUCCAAAUCUGCAGGUAGUAGAUAUCUGCAGAUAGUAGACAAAACAGAUAUGAUCUCUUUUGUCCACAUCUCCCAAACAAUCCAAAACUAGAUAUUUUGAAGCAGAGCUGAAGUCACUAGAUCCUUGGUUUUGCACCCCACCCGUAUCCCAACUCGAGCACACCAGUGGAGCACAGGAAAGGGAGAAAAAUCUUCCUCAAUUUCCUAUCCCAAACACUGAAUCAACUUCCCUGACAUCAGUGUCCCAUUGCACAGCUCCCAGUUUGGUCUACUUUAUCUCACAAACUUCCUCAACAACGGCCCCUUCUUCCCUAAUAAAAAGUACUCUAAAAUCAUUGCUCUUCCACUUUGGUACAAUACCCCUAGGCUGAAACCACAUAGAACAAAAAUUAUGGGACACAAAAGUAGAGCAAAAACACUAAGAGGUUCAGUUUCAGCUGAAGUGAAACAGUCCCCCAGACAGUCUGACAGAGGAAGUUUAGGUGCAUUUUACUCUAAAGUUUGUUAAGCACCAAGUCAGACCCACAUAACAAAACUUGUACUUCUUUACUUGGUCUCCAACCUUGUUACAUAGUUCUUAGCCUAACACCUGGUGGAAUGGUCACAAAAGUGUUCCCAAACUGACACCAAACAGUGCAACUUCAGUUUUCAGGCACUGAUUGAAAUUCAGUUUCUGUAACUGACAGUCCCAGUUUUAAGCAACUAUUACUCCACUUUUCAUGCAGUACAAAGUCAACCUUAUUUAAGAAAACUUGUUCACUAUUGUAUGGUCUUCCAUUUUACUAUAGAAACCAUAGUCCAUAACCCCAUAGAUUAGCCACAAGAAAGCUCCGAAGUUGAGCAAAACUCACUGAAAAUCAGUUUUAGAUAACUGAAUCAAGUCUGAAAUUAAAGUCUAACAGCAUGUUUUGGAACACCAUUUUCUCCCUGUUCUAAGCAUAUUCAAGGGCAUGAUCCUUACCAAGGGUUACUUCCCCAAUAUUUAUCUCCAAGUUUGCUACAGAAACUAGAGCCUAAAAGCACAUGGAUUGAUCACAGAACAAACAUAGUACGAUCGUGUACCUUGCUGGGUUGUCUUGGCCACGACGAGAUGGCCAAACUGACCGGCGUGGUCACUACUGGCAGGCCGAUGGUGUGCCAACACUUGUGCAGAUCAAACCUAAUGGCUGGAAAGAGACUAGCAUCAACUGGAGCACAAGGACUUCCACACUUUUACACUGGUCUUGGGCUAGAAUCCGAAGGCCAGGUGAAUCCUUCACUGAACCAGAUUUUAGAGCCACCAUAUAUAUAGAAAACGUCCCUAGACAUGGCCAACAUGCAGUGAAGCAGUGUGUCUCAGAGCGCCAGCAACAUAUGGACUUCAACACGUGGCUAACAUGCUCUCAUACCCCACCAGUACACAACCUUGGUUAGGACACUGAACCUGGUCCAUUUUCUCAACACAAAUAUCAGUUGGGGAUAUGCUUCAAUAUGUCCAAGAACAGGAUAUUCUUUCCAGCUGAGGGUGGGUUCUAGACCUCAGUUAUACCCUCCACACUUAUCUCAACUAUACACAUACAUGUAUCUCUUUUGUCCCCUACUGCAGACAGCAGACCAACCGAUCAAUUCUCCACUAUUUACUGCUCCAAAAUAGUCCAAAUUAGAUAUUUUUGGUGGAGAGUAGCCUCAAAGUAUCAGUCAUGCACUUCCCCCAUAAGACAGCUUAAUAUGUCAGUGGAGCACAGCAGAGAAAAAGAUUCUUCUUCAGUUACACCUCCACACACUGAAUCACUUCAUCAACCUGCUGCCCCAUUUAAUUCCUCCCAGUUCAAACCCUCUGAUCUUUCAAUUUUUCAUAGCAACAGACCAUGCUCCCUUCACAAAAGUUGUUCUCUAUACAUAGUUCUACCAACUUGGUAUAGAAAUCACAGGUUGAAAAUAUUUAGAGCAAGAGUUAUUGCAAUCCAAAGUUAAGCAAAACACUCAAAAUUCAGUUUUGGAUUUAUUAAACAGCACAAUACUGGGUCUGGCAGAGAGUUUUGUCACCCCUUUUUCUCUAGAUUACACACAGUAACAAGUCAACCCUUUGCAUAAAAGUUGUUCCCCUUCAUAUGGACUUUGACUUUUUUACAGAACUCGUAACCAAAAUCUCCAUAGAUUAAUUAUCAUAGAGCUCCAAACUGGACAACUUGCUGCCAUUCAGGGUUCAGAACUGAAUUAAAAUUCAGUUAUUAACCAACCUGACAAUCCAAUCUUUGAGGAACUAUUUCUGCACUUUUUGUAUGGGAUCAGGUCCACCACCCUAUAAGAAAGUUGUUCCACAUUAUAUGGUCUUCACUUAUUCUACAAACACCACAGCACAAAACCUUAUAGAAUAGCCACAAAUAGGCUUCAAAACUGCUAUCAAAACACUGAAAUUCAGUUACUGUUUCCAAUAUGAAUAUUCAGAAACACAGCAGCACCACUUUGAACCACUCUUUUUCUUGGGUUCCAAUUGUUUCUAGGGGCAAGUUUCUCAGUAAAGUUUAUACUCCUAUAGUUCCUCUACAAGUUUUAUAUAGUGACCAUUAACCAAAGCCUCUUGGAUCCCAAACUACAAUAGCCCAAAGUUUGCUCCAAUUGCUGAAAUUCAGACUGAAUUUCACUGUCUGAAAUCCCCACUUUCAGACAACUCUACUUUAGGCCAGCUUUUCUCUAGGUUCCAAAUAGCUUUAGGGCUAAGUGUAUUAACAAAACUUAUACUCCUCAUGUAUCUCUAUAACUUUGUUAUAAUGAUCAUCUUCAAACAGUUUAUAGAUCCAAAGUUAUGAGGACCCAAAAACAGCUAGUUGAUAUUAUUUUCAGCAAACUUCAAAUCUGAUUCAAAACUGAAUUAAACUUUUUACUCCAACUUUUCCUCUAAAACUUGGAAUUCUCCAUACAUAAAAGUUGUUCAACUUACCAAAAUCUACAACUUUGAUAUAUGGACAACUAGCAAAUUCUCUCUAGAUUUAAAACUCCACUUUUGGGCUAGUUGAGGGUUUCAAAUGUGACUCCUUCUCAUCUAGUGAUUUAUCAACUCAAUCCAUACUCCUAAAAGCUAAGUGACUCCCCUUAAUCUCAAAUUCAACUCUAGUAUAUGAAGCUCAUGUCCAAAGUGUCCUUGGUUUAGGAGUUGUUUUGUUUAUCCACAAUUCCAAGCAAGGUUUUGAAAUCUCACUUAAGGUUUUUAAUGUUAAUCCAGUUCCUCAAUUAAUUCUUCCACUCAACCCACCUUUGAAAGCAAAGUUGCUCUAGGUCCUAAGUCUUACCUUUAAUACUUUAAAUUCCAAGCCAACUUAUUACUUGCUCAAGAGACGACUUCUCUUCCCAUGUCUUAAGCAAAGUUCUUAAUCUGAGCCCUAUACUCUAAUACACAACACCAUAUUCACUGAAAUUUUUUGACCAAGUGGAUGCAUUCUAGGUAUAUCAAACAAGAUAAUGCAGAUGCUUAUGAUGGCAUGUCAGAGUUUUAGUUAACGUAACACCAGGGGUGUUACAGUCUUCCCCCCUAAAAAGAAAUCUUGUCCCGAGAUUUAAAACUCUAGGCUAGGUAAUGGAAAAGAAAAUGUGUCACUGGCUUAUUUCCCAUUACUCCUAUAAGGCAAGGGUGUGUUUCUAUUGGUUUAUACCAGAAAUAAACUACACAAACCUUAGGUUUACAGGGCACUAGAAACUCAGGAACACGCUCUUCUAGAUACUCCUCCGAUUCCUAUGUGGUUUCAUCUUCCAUGGGUUGGUUCCACUGUAGUUUAUGAAACUUGAUAACUUUUCUUCAAGUGACUGAUCCUUUAAAUCCAAUCCUUUCAGGCAGUGGCCGUUUAGUCCAUGGUCCGUUGGAUGGUCAGUGCAAGGCCAGAAAUUGGAACACAUUGAUUCCGCUCGUUCCUGUCCUUCGCUUCAAGGCCUGUCCCUCGGUGUGGUCAGUACUCCAUACUGUCGGGCAGCAAAGCUUACACUUGUUCACUUAUUAUGAUGGUUCACCAGGGCCUCUUUCCUCCUCCCUUUUCUGCUCACUCGUAUGGGAUAUUCCAAGUAGGUUAAAUCUGGUCCAAGGUUAACAUCUGAAAUCUCAAUAACAUGCUUGGGGACUCGAAGACAUUUCUUUAACUGGGACACGUAGAACAUGUUGUGCACUGUUGACAAAUUCUUUGGCAACUGUACCUUAUAAACUACUAGUCCACCAAAUGAACUGAGUUCCAAGGCUUCACGAAUAGGAAAAGGUAGUAUAGAAAAGCAAAGAUAGAUAGCAUGAAUAGGAUGGAUGAAACAUGUACUAAGAUACUAUAUAGGGGGCUUAACUUAAAAUUGUAUGUCAUGAUGCGUGCUCGACCUAUUCGUCCUCACAAUUCUUGCCAACAUAUAGUGGCUUUCAUGCUCUAUGGCAGUGGCAUACCUACACUCCGUCAUUGAAUACAAGUCGCACUUUUCUAGGGUUUUAGUUAGUGUACCUGCAGAAAGUUGCAUUAUAGUUGUGGGUUAGUGGUUAGCAUCCUAAACUAAGCCACCUUAUAGUCCUUAACUUAACCAUAUACUAGUUGCACUUCGAGUAUCAGGAUUUGAUCAUAGAUUCUUAAGUUUUUCCAAAAUAGUUUGGACUCAAAAUCCUUUUGAAGCAUAUCAAAAGAUUACUUUAAUAUCCAUGCUAAUGGGGGAUCGCUCCGAUACCAAUCUGUGGCAGCCCUCCCAAGUUAUCAGGCCCAUAUGCACCAAUCCUUGCCUUGAUGGCCUCAGAUGGCUAUGCACGUGUACCAGGUAACUUAACAAGGCUAUCACGAGUUCAACCACUUGAACUCAUCAUCCCAAGGAUCCUCCACCAUACAUGCAUAUUACAGUAAUCACAUUCGAUACACACACUUCGAAGAUACGAGCGGAAGACUUUACAAACAUUCUUUACCUUUUCAAAACUCAAGUUUCACAUGUUUCGAAAGAGUAAUAUUUAUUACAAGUCCUGAUAUACUCAAAGUGCAUAAGUUAUUACAAAAGCAGGAAGGUAGAAACCCUCCAAAGCUCAUACAUAAACCUAGCUAGUCCUCCUCUAGAACUGGAAACGCCCUCCAGCCACAGGAACAACUAGAGUACUUCUCAUCACCUACAACAACAUGGGUUCGAAAACCCUGAGUACGGAGUGUACUUUUGCAAGUCUUACCCGACUAAGGAAAAAUGACUCCCAAGGAUAUGUUGGUUAAAUAGGAAUCAAGGAAAAGGCUUUAGCAAGAAUCAACUUAGAUACUUUUGCAGAAAUAGCUUACUAAAGUGAGUCCUUACUUUCAAUAUUUUAACACCAGAUUAAAUAUUAAUAAACUCUGGUUGUAUCUAGUCUAAUUUCACCAUCUCAUCAAUACAACAUCAUUUUUACUCAUAAUGUUUACAUCCUUAGGUUGUAGGUCGGAGAUCAAGUCUCCACUCUCCGGGGAUAUAACGGCGAUCCGAAUUGAUUUACUCAGCUGAGGAUCUCUAACCACACGACAUAUGUUUCUCGUAACUCUUGCUUAUGUCUAUCAUUCCCACGGAUCCUCCACUGCAUGAACAGGUCCGCGCUACCCGGGAGCACACCACCCUUUUUAGGCGGUCCUUUGCUAGGAGGGUACGUGCCACUCUCGCCAUCUCUCCACUCCUAGUGCGCGAUUGUCUUUUCAUGUAUGGAAUAGCCGGGUUCAAGCUUACCCUGUCCCAUAUCCAGGGCAUGUGGCCAGUUAAGAUAGUCCUUGAUCAUACAGGCCUACAUACGCAUCCGAUCCUUAAUUAACAUUGGUAGAACAUCACCUGUUCCUAGCCCAAGUCCCGAUUUAAGUACUUCAACCUUAGGAUUGUUUGUGUUCCUUAGGAUGAAAAGAGCAUUAUAGGGAACUUUGCAGUAAGAUCCCACCAUGCUCCCAAUGAAAAUAUUCUUGCAAGUAGAAGUCGUCCUUCCUCAGGAUAACCCCUGAGCUAGGCAUUAAUGCAAAAGACAACCUCUAUCCACAAGAUCUAAGCAGGGCUAAGCAUUUUUUGUAAAUCAUAUUUUGAUACUUCAUCAGAAGUAUCUAUAAAGGUAUGGAUAUCAAGGUAGGCAAUGCAUCCAAUAGUUUCCAAGCAACUCCUAUAAACUUAAUGUACAUUUCACUAGACUUAAAGUGUAUAAAAAUCUUUUAAAAACACAAGGAAGGGGUUGCAUGCACCGGGGCUUGUCUUAUUGCAGGAGAAGAUCCAAAGUCCUUCUAUCACAAUAACCAGUUAGAUGGAACCAACCACUGGAUCUACAGCACUGGAGCAGACUCCUCUUCAGGAACCACUUCUUGAAUUUCAACUUACUUUUAUGGGAGCUCUACAUGAAAUGAUAUGAAUAUGAAUGCUUAUGCUUUUGUAAUUUGCAACGAAGAUAGCAAAACAACUCUCUAGACUAUACCAAAAUCUAUGGUCUUUUAUGUAAACUUGUUUCUUCACCAACUAAUUCCUUUCAUCCACUAACCGCACCACUACGAUUCACACGCACAUCACAAAGCCCAAGUUGAUGGUGUGAACCACAAGCCUAUAAACAGUCGCGAACAAUCUUUCCUGGGACAUAAAACUAUGCUACCGAUUAAUCCAAACACACACGCAACCAUGCCAGUAGAGAUCAAACAACCAGUUUAAUGAGUUUCACCCGUAAGUAUAGAUACUAGAACACUACACAGAAACCGUGGAAUCGUACCAUGUUAUCCCAACUAUGGGAGGGCAGGAACAACCCCGGGCAUGGUCACCACAGCCAGUGGCAAGUAUGUUUCCAACAAAACCAAGGGUACUAGAUGGCAGAGAGGUGUUAGGGGGGUGACGUGGGUGUAGAUGAGUAGCAAGGCACAUAGGGGAAACCAGGAAAUCGUCGAGAGCACAAGCAAUUCAGUUUGGGCUCCAAACUAGCAUAACAAGAGGUGGCUUGAUGGAGGUCGAGCUGGGGCUAUUUCAGAGGGGAAAUGAGAAUUAACAAUCCCCAACACACACCUGCAUGUCUACCACGCAAGGUGGAAGCACAAGAAAAAAGUCCAGCACACCUUUACUGCAUGUAUGACACCUCAUGAACAGUGAAGCAGCUGAAUCAUCCAAGAGAUAGGCUUUACACCCUUCCUGCAUCUAUCCUUGGGGUGGUGAAUUUUUGACAAUAAACUUUCCUCUCUCAUAAGUCUCUUUUGGGCUAGCAUAUCCUAGAAUUCCCUAUAUCAAUUUGGUGGAUGGAGAUACUUUCAUCAGAUUAUUCUAAAGCUGCUCCUGUUGUUCUACUCGACUGAAACCUCAAGUUCAGCUCCCCUUUUUAUUACCUCAAAUAACCAGCAAAGAAACUUUAAUGCCCCCAACACACAAAUAUCACUUGGUCCAAAUCUGCAGGUAGUAGAUAUCUGCAGAUAGUAGACAAAACAGAUAUGAUCUCUUCUGUCCACAUCUCCCAAACAGUCCAGAACUAGAUAUUUUGCAGCAGAGCUGAAGUCACUAGAUCCUUGGUUUUGCACCCCACCCAUAUCCCAACUCGAGCACACCAGUGGAGCACAGGAAAGGGAGAAAAAUCUUCCUCAAUUUCCUAUCCCAAACACUGAAUCAACUUCCCUGACAUCAGUGUCCCAUUGCACAGCUCCCAGUUUGGUCUACUUUAUCUCACAAACUUCCUCAACAACGGCCCCUUCUUCCCUAAUAAAAAAUACUCUCCAAUCAUUGCUCUUCCACUUUGGUACAAUACCCCUAGGCUGAAACCACAUAGAACAAAAAUUAUGGGACACAAAAGUAGAGCAAAAACACUAAGAGGUUCAGUUUCGGCUGAAGUGAAAUAAUCCCCCAGACAGUCUGACAGAGGAAGUUUAGGUGCAUUUUACUCUAAAGUUUGUUAAGCACCAAGUCAGACCCACAUAACAAAACUUGUACUUCUUUACUUGGUCUCCAUCCUUGUUACAUAGUUCUUAGCCUAACACCUGGUGGAAUGGUCACGAAAGUGUUCCCAAACUGACACCAAACUGUGCAACUUCAGUUUUCAGGCACUGAUUGAAAUUCAGUUUCUGUAACUGACAGUCCCAGUUUUAAGCAACUAUUACUCCACUUUUCAUGCAGUACAAAGUCAACCUUAUUUAAGAAAACUUGUUCACUAUUGUAUGGUCUUCCAUUUUACUAUAGAAACCAUAGUCCAUAACCCCAUAGAUUAGCCACAAGAAAGCUCCGAAGUUGAGCAAAACUCACUGAAAUUCAGUUUUAGAUAACUGAAUCAAGUCUGAAAUUAAAAUCUGACAGCAUGUUUUGGAACGCCAUUUUCUCCCUGUUCUAAGCAUAUUCAAGGGCAUGAUCCUUACCAAGGGUUACUUCCCCAACAUUUAUCUCCAAGUUUGCUACAGAAACUAGAGCCUAAAAGCACAUGGAUUGAUCACAGAACAAACAUAGUACGAUCGUGUACCUUGCUGAGUUGUCUUGGCCACGGCGAGAUGGCCAAACUGACCGGCGUGGUCACUACUGGCAGGCCGAUGGUGUGCCAACACUUGUGCAGAGCAAACCUAGUGGCUAGGAAGAGACUAGCAUCAACUGGAGCACAAGGACUUCCACACUUUUACACUGGUCUUGGGCUAGAAUCAGAAGGCCAGGUUGAUGAGGACAUCACUAUGAGUACGACUACACCAGCAGCACCUCCACAUCAAGCGCCACUUCCUUCAUUAGUUGGGCCAAUCACUCGGGCCCGUGCCAGAGAUCUUAACUUCGUCAUGCUACUGAAGAAUGAGGGCCCAGAAGAAUAGACGACCAGCCCAACUGCGGCCCAUAGUGGACAACCUAGGGUUGGCCGCCCCUAGGGGCUGCGCCCCCUCUCUCUAUUUAUCCAGGAGCUGCGCCUCCUUUGUUCUUCGAGUUUUGUUUUACAUCUAGCUUUAGCUACCCCAGAACACGCACAAAUACGUGUUGUCCUCUGUGAUUCAGAACUCCACCUCGAGUGAUAUUAAGAUUGCUCGCAUCUUUUUCUUGUUCGUUCUUCGAUUGCGCACAGGAAACGAUCUUCGUGAUCAGGCCGAUCUCGCAUUAGCAAGGUCGGUAACCAUUGGGAGUUGGUUCAGCGAUUGCAUUGGCGCUUCGGGUUCGCUCGUCGUAGUCGGAUCGUGAGGGUCUACUUGCACCAAAUCGGAAUUAUCUCCACUCACCGAAAGAUCGGGCACUCCAGCUCUAUUAAGUGGUAUCAGAUUUCCAGGUUGAUCGGUGAGUUUAUCGAGUGUUUUUUUUCUCCUACAGUCCACAAAACCACAUAAAAAUUUAGGUUAGACCUUAUCCUAGCACCCUUUUGAGCCUCGCACUUUCUUUCAAUAAUCUGCAUUGUUGAAUUUGUGUGCUUUCAUGUCAUUUGUUACUGGUUGCAUUGUGUUAUUACACCAUUCAAACCCUAGCGCGCCGCCACCAUAUUCCGUUUGAUCACGCCACAAACCGAGUCAACGCCGCUUCCUUAUUUUUCUCCUUCGGUUACGUAAAAAACAGAAAAAAAACAAACCGAGUCAACACCGUUUCCUUGUUUUUCUACUUCGGUUACGUAAAAAAACAGAAACAAAAAAAAGAAAACGAAGGAGAAAGAAUACAAAGCGGUUGUCUCAUCUCGAUCGUUUUAAGCAUACCUUCCUUAAACCGGGCAUAACUUUUCGCUCGAUUGUUCAAAAAAUCUGAAUUUUUUACAGGAGCUUGUUGACACCAUUCUGAGGCCGGCCAAACUGGCCUAUGGCCUGUUUGGUUUCGAUAAAAUUGUCAAAAAAUUCAGGAAAAUAAAGAAAAAAAUUCAUCAAAGUUCUCGCACGCUUUUCAGAGAACUUCCUGAUUUUCUGUAGACCACAUCUGAACUCUGUUUUAGGUGAAACUUCGUGUAGCUCCUAUUUUGUUGCUCCUUAUGCUGAGAAAAAUAUCAAAAAAUCAUACAAAAAAAAAGAAAAACAAAAUCACUUGUGAUUCCUACUAGUGCCUUUUUGGCCUCGCUAGUACAAUAUUUACGGUACUGCCAUUCUGCUAGUUCCAUCCAUCCUUUGCACUUGUGGCCAGCAAUAUAGUUUCGUGUUUUGCACUAUAAUUCAACUUUGCAUUAUUGUUUGAUCGUGCUAAUCCUUGACUUGAGUGCAGCCUACCCAAAACUCCACAUAUUUCUACGACGAGAAGGUUUCUGUUUCUCCAGGCAAUCGCUCAUCCAAUCUUUCACCGGUUCCACCUGUUGGUUGCAGUUCACCACUGUGGCUUGGUAAGAACGGAUAAGAACUUGAUAACAGCAUUCCAUUGAGCGAGUUGUCACCACCAUUUUCCUGUUGUCGUCGGUUUUUCUCCUUUUGGUGUUUUGGUGUUUGUGCUAACUAUGGCAGGAGCACACGACACGGUGGAUGCCCAGUUGCUGGAAGUAAGGGGACAAGUUGAUGGACUUGCUGCUGACAUUAGGACGAUGCAUGAACGGCUUGAUUCAACGGUCAAUUCGACGACCGAGCGUUUCAACCAGCUUGACCUUGCUCAAACGGCGACUCGCACCACACUCGACACCAUCCUGGCACGCCUUGAUGCGUUGACCACAAAGAUGGAGCAGGACUACGGCGGUGAUACUGAGCAGGACGAUGGAGAUCGCCGUGGUCGUGCACGCCGUGUGGUUCGUCAUCCCCCUAAUGACUUAUUUUCUAAGAUUAAAUUUAAAAUUCCACCUUUUAAUGGCAAAUAUGAUCCUACUGCAUAUCUUGAUUGGGAGUUAGAGGUUGAACAAAAAUUUUCAUGCCAUGAUAUUGCUGCACAUUCUCAGGUUAAAGCUGCUAUUAGUGAAUUUAAUGAUUUUGCUUUAAUUUGGUGGCGUGAGUAUAAAAUGAAACAUCCCACUGCCAUUCCAACCACUUGGGAUCAGUUAAAAGCUGUGAUGAGACAUCGAUUUGUGCCUUCGUAUUAUGCUCGUGAUUUGCUUAAUAAAAUGCAGUGUUUUCAGCAAGGUUCUCAAUCUAUUGAGGACUAUUUCCAGGAGUUACAAAAAGGUAUGAUUCGUUGUGGGAUAUUGGAGGACAACGACGCUGCUAUGGCACGUUUUCGUGGUGGUUUAAACCGCGAAAUCCAGGAUAUACUUGAUUAUAAGGAAUAUUAUGAUAUGACUACUUUAUUUGAAUAUGCUUGUAAAACUGAACGUGAAGUGCAGGGACGCCGCUCGAAGCCAUAUUCUAACCCUUUUGCAGGACGAAGCUCGACAUCCACCUCAGCACCAGUUCCCUCUGCGCCAUCCACGUCCACCACUACUCCACGCGAUAAGAUGACCAAACCAGCCAGCAUUGCCCCACCCACAGGUCGUACACGGGAUAUUCAGUGUCAUCGCUGUAGAGGAUUUGGCCAUGUGAUUCGAGACUGCCCAAACAAGCGCACUUUGCUCAUUCGUGACGAUGGUGAGUACUCUUCCGCUAGUGAUUCUAAAGAAAUUGAACAUGCACUACCUGCCACUAACCAUGCAGCUCAGGCGGAGGUACAUGUCAACCCGGGCGACGCUGAUAGGUAUGAAAGUCUUGUUGUGCAGCGUGUUCUUAGUACACAGGUCGCUUUGCCCGAGAAGAAUCAGCGACACACUCUGUUCCAUACAAAGGGUGUUGUGGAGGAGCGGUCAAUUCGCAUCAUUAUCGACAGCGGCAGUUGCAACAAUUUGGCGAGUACCAUGUUGGUCGAAAAGUUGUCGUUACCCACUCGUAAGCAUCCAAACCCAUAUCACAUUCAAUGGCUUAAUGAUGGUGGUAAAAUAAAAAUCACGCGUUUCGUGCGUGUUCCUUUCUCCAUGGGUGCUUAUUCUGAUUUUGUUGAUUGUGAUGUUAUUCCCAUGGAAGCAUGCUCUUUGUUACUUGGUCGACCUUGGUAAUAUGAUACUGAUAGCUUGCAUCAUGGUCGUUCGAAUCAUUAUUCUUUCAUUUUUAAGGGUCAGAAAAUAAUUAUACAUCCAAUGACACCUGAACAAAUUGUUAAAGAUGAUCUUGCCCGAGCUACUAUAACUACUAAACAACUUGAUCCAUCACCCUCUGUUUCUUCUGAAAUCAAGUUGAAGGCUCCUAUUUUACUUGCUACACGUGCUGAUUUUGAUGAUCUACACUGAUGAGAACAUCACUAUGAGUACGACUACACCAGCAGCACCUCCACGUCAAGCGCCACUUCCUUCAUUAGCUGGGCCAAUCACUCGGGCCCGUGCCAAAGAUCUUAACUUCGUCAUGCUACUGAAGAAUGAGGGCCCAGGAGAAUAGACGACCAGCCCAACUGCGGCCCAUAGUGGAUGACCUAGGGUUGGCCGCCCCUAGGGGCUGCGCCCCCUCUCUCUAUUUAUAUAGGAGCUACGCCUCCUUUGUUCUUCGAGUUUUGUUUUACAUCUAGCUUUAGCUACCCCAGAACACGCACAAAUACGUGUUGUCCUCUGUGAUUCAGAACUCCACCUCGAGUGAUAUUAAGAUUGCUCGCAUCUUUUUCUUGUUCGUUCUUCGAUUGCGCAUAGGAAACGAUCUUCGUGAUCAGGCCGAUCUCGCAUCAGCAAGGUCGGUAACCAUUGGAAGUUGGUUCAGCGAUUGCAUUGGCGCUUCGGGAUUGCUCGUCGUAGUCGGAUCGUGAGGGUCUACUUCCACCAAAUCGGAAUUAUCUCCACUCACCGAAAGAUCGGGCACUCCAGCUCUAUCAAGUGGUAUCAAAUUUCCAGGUUGAUCGGUGAGUUUAUCGAGUGUUUUUUUCUCCUACAGUCCACAAAACCACAUAAAAAUUCAGGUUAGACCUUAUACCAGCACCCUUUUGAGCCUCGCACCUUCUUUCAAUAAUCUGCAUUGUUGAAUUUGUGUGCUUUCGCGUCAUUUGUUGCUGGUCGCAUUGUGUUUUUUCUCACCAUCCUUCUUUCUUCCUUGUUUUUCUCCUUCGGUUACAUCAAACCCUAGCGUGCCGCAACCAUCUUCCUUGUUUUUCUCCUUCGGUUACAUCAAACCCUAGCGUGCCGCAACCAUCUUCCUUGUUUCUCUCCUUCGGUUACAUCAAACCGAGUCAACGCCACAAACCGAGUCAACACCGCUUCCUUAUUUUUCUCCUUCGGUUACGUAAAAAAACAAAAAAAACAAACCGAGUCAACGCCGCUUCCUUGUUUUUCUCCUUCGGUUACGUCAAAAAACAGAAACAAAAAAAAAGAAAACGAAGGAGAAAGGAUACAAAGCGGUUGUCUCAUCUCGGUCGUUUUAAACAUACCUUCCUUAAACCGGGCAUAACUUUUCGCUCGGUUGUUCAAAAAAUCUGAAAUUUUUACAGGAGCUUGUUGACACCAUUCUGAGGCCGGCCAAAUGUUUGGGUUUCGACAAAAUUGUCAAAAAUAUUCAGGAAAAUAAAGAAAAAAUUCGUCAAAGUUCUCGCACGCUUUUCAGACAACUUCCUGAUUUUCUGUAGACCACAUCUGAACUCUGUUUUAGGUGAAAUUUUGUGUAGCUCCUCGUUUGUUCCUCAUUGUGCUGAGAAAAAUAUCAAAAAAUCAUACAAAAAAGAAAAACAAAAUCACUUGUGAUUCCUACUAGUGCCUUUUUGGCCUCGCUAGUACAAUAUUUACGGUACUGCCAUUCUGCUAGUUCCAUCCGUCCUUUGCACUUGUGGCCAGCAAUAUAGUUUCGUGUUUUGCACUGUAAUUCAACUUUGCAUUAUUGUUUGAUCGUUCUAAUCCUUGACUUGAGUGCAGCCUACCCAAAACUCCACAUAUUUCUACGACGAGAAGGUUUCUGUUUCUCCAGGCAAUCGCUCAUCCAAUCUUUCACCGGUUCCACCUGUUGGUUGCAGUUCACCACUGUGGCUUGGUAAGAACGGAUAAGAAUUUGAUAACAGCAUUUCAUUGAGCGAGUUGUCACCACCAUUUCUCUGUUGUCGUCGGUUUUUCUCCUUUUGGUGUUUUGGUGUUUGCGCUAACUAUGGCAGGAGCACACGACACGGUGGAUGCCCAGUUGCUGGAAGUAAGGGGACAAGUUGAUUGACUUGCUGCUGACAUUAGGAUGAUGCAUGAACGGCUUGAUUCAACGGUCACUUCGACGACCGAGCGUUUCAACCAGCUUGACCUUGCUCAAACGGCGACUCGCACCACACUCGACACCAUCCUGGCACGCCUUGAUGCGUUGACCACAAAGAUGGAGCAGGACUACGGCGGUGACACUGAGCAGGACGAUGGAGAUCGUCGUGGUCGUGCACGCCGUGUGGUUCGUCAUCCCUCUAAUGACUUAUUUUCUAAGAUUAAAUUUAAAAUUCCACCUUUUAAUGGCAAAUAUGAUCCUGCUGCAUAUCUUGAUUGGGAGUUAGAGGUUGAACAAAAAUUUUCAUGCCAUGAUAUUGCUGCACAUUCUCAGGUUAAAGCUGCUAUUAGUGAAUUUACUGAUUUUGCUUUAAUUUGGUGGCGUGAGUAUAAAAUGAAACAUUCCACUGCCAUUCCAACCACUUGGGAUCAGUUGAAAGCUGCGAUGCGACAUCGAUUUGUGCCUUCAUAUUAUGCUCGUGAUUUGCUUAAUAAAAUGCAGCGUUUUCAGCAAGGUUCUCAAUCUGUUGAGGACUAUUUCCAGGAGUUACAAAAAGGUAUGAUUCGUUGUGGGAUAUUGGAGGACAACGACGCUGCUAUGGCACGUUUUCGUGGUGGUUUAAACCACGAAAUCCAGGAUAUACUUAAUUAUAAGGAAUAUUAUGAUAUGACUACUUUAUUUGAAUAUGCUUGCAAAGCUGAACGUGAAGUGCAGGGACGCCGCUCGAAGACAUAUUCUAACCCUUUUGCAGGACGAAACUCGACAUCCACCUCAACACCAGUUCCCCCUGCGCCAUCCACGUCCACCACUACUCCACGCGAGAAGACGACCAAACCAGCCAGCACUGCCCCACCCACAGGUCGUACACGGGAUAUUCAGUUUUAUCGUUGUAGAGGAUUUGGCCAUGUGAUUCGAGACUGCCCAAACAAGCGCACUUUGCUCAUUCGUGACGAUGGUGAGUACUCUUCCGCUAGUGAUUCUGAAGAAAUUGAACAUGCACUACUUGUCACUAACCAUGCAGCUCAGGCGGAGGUACAUGUCAACCCAGGCGACGCUGAUAGGUAUGAAAGUCUUGUUGUGCAGCGUGUUCUUAGUACACAGGUCGCUUUGCCCGAAAAGAAUCAGCGACACACUCUGUUCCAUACAAAGGGUGUUGUGCAGGAGCGGUCAAUCCGCAUCAUUAUCGACAGCGGCAGUUGCAACAAUUUGGCGAGUACCAUGUUGAUCGAAAAGUUGUCGUUACAAACUCGUAAGCAUCCAAACCCAUAUCACAUUCAAUGGCUUAAUGAUGGUGGUAAAAUAAAAAUCACGCGUUCCGUGCGUGUUCCUUUCUCCAUGGGUGCUUAUUCUGAUUUUGCCCGAGAAGCAUGCUCUUUGUUACUUGGUCGACCUUGGCAAUAUGAUACUGAUAGCUUGCAUCAUGGUGGUUCGAAUCAUUAUUCUUUCAUUUUUAAGGGUCAGAAAAUAAUUAUACAUCCAAUGAAACCUGAACAAAUUGCUAAAGAUGAUCUUGCCCGAGCUGCUAUAACUGCUAAACAACUUGAUCCAUCACCCUCUGUUCCUUCUAAAAUCAAGUUGAAGGCUCCUGUUUUACUUGCUACACGUGCUGAUUUUGAUCAUCUACACGGUGCUCAUUUGCCAUGCUAUGCACUUGUAUGCUCUAGUGUCCUCAUUUCACUUGAUGAUGCACCAUCUUUGGCUAUUCCCCCUAUGGUUGCUAACCUUUUGCAGGAGUACGCUGAUGUCUUUCCCAAAGACUUACCACCGGGUCUCCCACCGCUUCGUGGCAUUGAGCACCAGAUCGACCUCAUCCCCGGCGCACAGCUUCCGAACCGCGCACCGUACCGUACAAAUCCGGAUGAGACGAAGGAGAUUCAGCGCCAGGUACAGGCGUUGCUUGACAAGGGAUACAUUCGUGAAUCUCUUAGCCCUUGCUCUGUUCCUGUGUUACUUGUUCCCAAGAAAGAUGGGUCAUGGCGUAUGUGUGUAGACUGUCGUGCUAUUAAUAACAUCACUAUUCGUUAUCGAUAUCCUAUACCACGCCUUGAUGAUAUGCUAGAUGAGCUUAGUGGUGCCAUUAUUUUCACUAAGAUUGAUUUGCGUAGUGGUUACCACUAGAUUAGAAUGAAACUGGGUGAUGAAUGGAAAACGACUUUUAAAACGAAAUUUGGUUUAUAUGAAUGGUUGGUUAUGCCGUUUGGAUUGACUAAUGCUCCCAGCACUUUUAUGCGAGUGAUGAAUGAAGUUCUGAGGCCCUUCAUAGGAUUGUUUGUGGUUGUUUAUUUUGAUGAUAUCCUUAUUUACAGCAAAUCUAAGAAAGAGCAUUUGGAACAUUUAAGUGCUGUUUUUGAUGCAUUGCGUGCUGCCCAGUUAUUUGCUAACAUGGAAAAAUGCAUCUUUUGCACACGACGUGUCUCGUUUCUUGGUUAUGUUGUUACUCCACAGGGCAUUGAGGUGGAUAGCAGCAAGAUUGCUGCCAUUCGGGAGUGGCCUACACCGACGACGGUCACACAAAUUCGGAGCUUUCUUGGACUUGCCGGAUUCUACUGCAGAUUUGUUCGUGAUUUUAGCUCCAUUGCAGCGCCUCUACAUGAGCUUACAAAGAAAGAUGUGUCGUUUGCUUGGAGUGAUUCGCAGGAGGAAGCGUUCAGCACUUUGAAAGAUAAUUUAACCCAAGCUCCCCUAUUGCAAUUGCUUGAUUUUAAUAAAGUGUUUGAGCUUGAAUGCGAUGCUAGCUGUAUUGGGCUAGGUGCUGUUUUGUUACAAGAAGGAAAACUAGUUGCUUAUUUUAGUGAAAAAAUAAGCGGUGCUAGUCUGAAAUAUUCUACUUAUGAUAAGGAGGUUUACGCUUUAGUGCGCACUUUGCAUACAUGGCAGCACUAUCUUUGGCAUCGUGAGUUCAUAAUUCAUUCUGAUCAUGAGGCUUUAAAACAUAUUCGUACCCAAACAAAUCUGAACCGUCGUCAUGCUAAAUGGGUAGAAUUCAUUGAGUCUUUUCCUUACAUUAUUAAACACAAGAACGGAAAGGACAAUGUUAUUGCUGAUGCUUUGUCUCGUCGCUAUACCAUGUUGUCACAGUUAGAUUUUAAAAUCUUUGGUUUGCACACUGUGAAAGAUCAAUAUGUUGACGAUGCUGAUUUUAAAGAUGCUUUCGGCCAUUGUAUUAAUGGGAAACCAUGGGGCAAAUUUCACAUGCAGGAUGGGUUCCUGUUUCGCGCUAACAAGCUGUGUGUUCCAGCUAGCUCGGUUCGUCUUUUGUUGUUACAGGAAGCACAUGGAGGCGGUCUCAUGGGGCACUUUGGCGUCUACAAGACACAUGAGGUGUUGGCUGCCCACUUCUUUUGGCCUCGGAUGCGCGCUGAUGUUGAGAGCCUUGUUGUACGCUGCACUACUUGUCAGAAAGCUAAGUCACGGUUGAACAACCAUGGUUUGUAUAUGCCUUUGCCUGUUCCUACUUCCCCUUGGAUUGAUAUUUCGAUGGAUUUUGUUUUGGGAUUGCCUAGAACUAAGAAGGGGAGGGAUAGCAUAUUUGUGGUUGUUGAUCGAUUCUCCAAAAUGGCUCAUUUCAUACCUUGUCAUAAGACUGAUGAUGCUAGCAAUGUUGUUGAAUUGUUUUUUAGAGAGAUUAUUCGUUUGCACGGUAUUCCCAAUACAAUAGUCUCGGAUCGUGAUGCUAAGUUUCUCAAUCAUUUUUGGAGAUCUCUGUGGAAUAAAUUGGGAACUAAAUUGUUGUUUAGCACCACUUGUCACCCUCAGACUGAUGGUCAAACUGAGGUAGUUAAUCGAACUUUGUCUACCAUGCUUAGGGCUGUUUUAGACAAAAAUUUGAAACGUUGAGAGGAUUGCUUGCAUCAUGUUGAGUUUGCUUAUAAUCAUGCAACACAUUCUUCUACAAAGAUGUGCCCUUUUCAAAUUGUUUAUGGUUACUUUCCUAGGGCGCCUAUUGCUUUGUUUUCGCUUGAUGCUGCGGACGCCCCACACAUAGAUGUUGUUGCACAUGUUGAACAAAUGAUUAACCUCCAUGAACAAACUCAACAAAACAUUGCUGCUACUAAUGCAAAAUAUCAGGUUGCUAGUAGUAAAGGAAGAAAACUUGUUACUUUUGAGCCAGGUGAUAUGGUUUGGAUGCACUUGAGAAAGGAUCGGUUUCCUACUUUGCAACGUUCUAAAUUAAUGCCUCGUGCUGCUGGUCCUUUUAAGGUGCUAACAAAGAUUAAUGAUAAUGCUUAUAUCCUUGACCUGCCUGCGGAAUUUGGUGUUUCCACUAGUUUUAUUGUUGCAGAUUUGAAACCAUAUAUGGCCGAGGAUGAGGAAUUGCCGUCGAGGACGACUUCACUUCAAGAAGGGGAGGAUGAUGAGGACAUCACUAUGAGUACGACUACACCAGCAGCACCUCCACGUCAAGCGUCACUUCCUUCAUUAGCUGGGCCAAUCACUCGGGCCCGUGCCAGCUUUAGCUACCCCAGAACACACACAAAUACGUGUUGUCCUCUGUGAUUCAGAACUCCACCUCGAGUGAUAUUAAGAUUGCUCGCAUCUUUUUCUUUUUCGUUCUUCGAUUGCGCACAGGAAACGAUCUUCGUGAUCAGGCCGAUCUCGCAUCAGCAAGGUCGGUAACCAUUGGAAGUUGGUUCAGCGAUUGCAUUGGCGCUUCGGGAUCGCUCGUCGUACUCGGAUCGUGAGGGUCUACUUCCACCAAAUCGGAAUUAUCUCCACUCACCGAAAGAUCGGGCACUCCAGCUCUAUCAUACACGGUGCUCAUUUGCCAUGCUAUGCACUUGUAUGCUCUAGUGUCCUCAUUUCACUUGAUGAUGCACCAUCUUUGGCUAUUCCCCCUAUGGUUGCUAACCUUUUGCAGGAGUACGCUGAUGUCUUUCCCAAAGACUUACCACCGGGUCUCCCACCGCUUCGUGGCAUUGAGCACCAGAUCGACCUCAUCCCCGGCGCACAGCUUCCAAACCGCGCACCGUACCGUACAAAUCCGGAUGAGACGAAGGAGAUUCAGCGCCAGGUACAGGCGUUGCUUGAUAAGGGAUACAUUCGUGAGUCUCUUAGCCCUUGCUCUGUUCCUGUGUUACUUGUUCCCAAGAAAGAUGGGCCAUGGCGUAUGUGUGUAGACUGUCGUGCUAUUAAUAACAUCACUAUUCGUUAUCGAUAUCAUAUACCACGCCUUGAUGAUAUGCUAGAUGAGCUUAGUGGUGCCAUUAUUUUCACUAAGAUUGAUUUGCGUAGUGGUUACCACCAGAUUAGAAUGAAACUGGGUGAUGAAUGGAAAACAGCUUUUAAAACGAAAUUUGGUUUAUAUGAAUGGUUGGUUAUGUCGUUUGGAUUGACUAAUACUCCCAGCACUUUUAUGCAAGUGAUGAAUGAAGUUCUGAGGCCCUUCAUAGGAUUGUUUGUGGUUGUUUAUUUUGAUGAUAUCCUUAUUUACAGCAAAUCUAAGAAAGAGCAUUUGGAACAUUUAAGUGUUGUUUUUGAUGCAUUGCGUGGUGCCCAGUUAUUUGCUAACAUGAAAAAAUGCAUCUUUUGCACACGACGUGUCUCGUUUCUUGGUUAUGUUGUUACUCCACAGGGCAUUGAGGUGGAUAGCAGCAAGAUUGCUGCCAUUCGGGAGUGGCCUACACCGACGACGGUCACACAAAUUCGGAACUUUCUUGGACUUGCCGGUUUCUACCGCAGAUUUGUUCAUGAUUUUAGCUCCAUUGCAGCGCCUCUACAUGAGCUCACAAAGAAAGAUGUGUCGUUUGAUUGGCGUGAUUCGCAGGAGGUAGCGUUCAGCACUUUGAAAGAUAAGUUAACCCAAGCUCCCUUAUUGCAAUUGCCUGAUUUUAAUAAAGUGUUUGAGCUUGAAUGCGAUGCUAGCGGUAUUGGGCUAGGUGCUAUUUUGUUACAAGAAGGAAAACCAGUUGCUUAUUUUAGUGAAAAAUUAAGCGGUGCUAGUCUGAAAUACUCUACUUAUGAUAAGGAGCUUUACGCUUUAGUGCGCACUUUGCAUACAUGGCAGCACUAUCUUUGGCAUCGUGAGUUCAUAAUUCAUUCUGAUCAUGAGGCUUUAAAACAUAUUCGUACCCAAACAAAUCUGAACCGUCGUCAUGCUAAAUGGGUAGAAUUCAUUGAGUCUUUUCCUUACAUUAUUAAACACAAGAACAGGAAGGACAAUGUUAUUGCUGAUGCUUUGUCUCGUCGCUAUACCAUGCUGUCACAGUUAGAUUUUAAAAUCUUUGGUUUGCACACUGUGAAAUAUCAAUAUGUUUACGAUGCUGAUUUUAAAGAUGCUUUUGGCCAUUGUAUUAAUGGGAAACCAUGGGGCAAAUUUCACAUAGAGGAUGGGUUCCUGUUUCGCGCUAACAAGCUGUGUGUUCCAGCUAGCUCAGUUCGUCUUUUGUUGUUACAGGAUGCGCAUGGAGGCGGUCUCAUGGGGCACUUUGGCGUCUACAAGACACAUGAGGUGUUGGCUGCCCACUUCUUUUGGCCUCGGAUGCGCGCUGAUGUUGAGCGCCUUGUUGCACGCUGCACUACUUAUCAGAAAGCUAAGUCACGGUUGAACAACCAUGGUUUGUAUAUGCCUUUGCCUGUUCCUACUUCCCCUUGGAUUGAUAUUUCGAUGGAUUUUGUUUUGGGAUUGUCUAGAACUAAGAAGGGGAGGGAUAGCAUUUUUGUGGUUGUUGAUCGAUUCUCCAAAAUGGCUCAUUUCAUACCUUGUCAUAAGACUGAUGAUGCUAGCAAUGUUGCUGAAUUGUUUUUUAGAGAGAUUAUUCGUUUGCACAGUAUUCCCAAUACAAUAGUUUCGGAUCGUGAUGCUAAGUUUCUCAGUCAUUUUUGGAGAUCUCUGUGGAAUAAAUUGGGAACUAAAUUGCUGUUUAGCACCACUUGUCACCCUCAGACUGAUGGUCAAACUGAGAUAGUUAAUCGAACUUUGUCUACCAUGCUUAGGUCUGUUUUAGACAAAAAUUUGAAACGUUGGGAGGAUUGUUUGCCUCAUGUUGAGUUUGCUUAUAAUCAUGCAACACAUUCUUCUACAAAGAUGUGCCCUUUUCAAAUUGUUUAUGGUUACAUUCCUAGGGCGCCUAUUGCUUUGUUUUCGCUUGAUGCUGCGAACGCCCCACACAUAGAUGUUGUUGCACAUGUUGAACAAAUGAUUAACCUCCAUGAACAAACUCAACAAAACAUUGCUGCUACUAAUGCAAAAAAUCAGGUUGUUGGUAGUAAAGGAAGAAAACUUGUUACUUUUGAGCCAGGUGAUAUGGUUUGGUUGCACUUGAGAAAGGAUCGGUUUCAUACUUUGCGCCGUUCUAAAUUAAUGCCUCGUGUUGCUGGUCCUUUUAAGGUGCUAACAAAGAUUAAUGAUAAUGCUUAUAUCCUUGACCUGCCUACGGAAUUUGGUGUUUCCACUAGUUUUAAUGUUGCAGAUUUGAAACCAUAUAUGGCCGAGGAUGAGGAGUUGCCGUCGAGGACGACUUCACUUCAAGAAGGGGAGGAGGAUGAGGACAUCACUAUGAGUACGACUACAGCAGCAGCACCUCCACAUCAAGCGCCACUUCCUUCAUUAGCUGGGCCAAUCACUCGAGCCCGUGCCAGAGAUCUUAACUUCGUCAUGCUACUGAAGAAUGAGGGCCCAGAAGAAUAGACGACCAGCCCAACUGCGGUCCAUAGUGGACGACCUAGGGUUGGCCGCCCCUAGGGGCUGCGCCCCCUCUCUCUAUUUAUCCAGGAGUUGCGCCUCCUUUGUUCUUCGAGUUUUGUUUUACAUCUAGCUUUAGCUACCCCAGAACACGCACAAAUACGUGUUGUCCUCUGUGAUUCAGAACUCCACCUCGAGUGAUAUUAAGAUUGCUCGCAUCUUUUUCUUGUUCGUUUUUCGAUUAUGCACAGGAAACGAUCUUCGUGAUCAGGUCGAUCUCGCAUCAGCAAGGUCGGUAACCAUUGAGAGUUGGUUCAGCGAUUGCAUUGGCGCUUCGGGUUCGCUCGUCGUAGUCAGAUCGUGAGGGUCUACUUCCACCAAAUCGGAAUUAUCUCCACUCACCGAAAGAUCGGGCACUCCAGCUCUAUCACAGGUGAAUCCUUCACUGAACCAGAUUUCAGAGCCACCAUAUAUAUAGCAAACGUCCCUAGACAUGGCCAACAUGCAGUGAAGCAGUGUGUCCGAGAGCGCCAGCAACAUAUGGACUUCAACACGUGGCUAACAUGCUCUCAUACCCCACCAGUACACAACCUUGGUUAGGACACUGAACCUGGUCCAUUUUCUCAACACAAAUAUCAGUUGGGGAUAUGCUUUAAUAUGUCCAAGAACAGGAUAUUCUUUCCAGCUGAGGGUGGGUUCUAGACCUCAGUUAUACCCUCCACACUUAUCUCAACUAUACACAUACAUGUAUCUCUUUUGUCCCCUACUGCAGACAGCAGACCAACCAAUCAAUUCUCCACUAUUUACUGCUCCAAAAUAGUCCAAAUUAGAUAUUUUUGGUGGAGAGUAGCCUCAAAGUAUCAGUCAUGCACUUCCCCCAUAUGACAGCUUAAUAUGUCAGUGGAGCACAGCAAAGAAAAAGAUUCUUCUUUAGUUACACCUCCACACACUGAAUCACUUCAUCAACCUGCUGCCCCAUUUAAUUCCUCCCAGUUCAGACCCUCUGAUCUUUCAAUUUUUCAUAGCAACAGACCAUGCUCCCUUCACAAAAGUUGUUCUCUAUACAUAGUUCUACCAACUUGGUAUAGAAAUCACAGGUUGAAAAUAUUUAGAGCAAGAGUUAUUGCAAUCCAAAGUUAAGCAAAACACUCAAAAUUCAGUUUCGGAUUUAUUAAACAGCACAAUACUAGGUCUGACAGAGAGUUUUGUCACCCCUUUUUCUCUAGAUUACACACAGUAACAAGUCAAUCCUUUGCAUAAAAGUUGUUCCCCUUCAUAUGGACUUUGACUUUACUACAGAACUCGUAACCAAAAUCUCCAUAGAUUAAUUAUCAUAGAGAUCCAAACUGGGCAACUUGCUGCCAUUCAGGGUUCAGAACUGAAUUAAAAUUCAGUUAUUAACCAACCUGACAAUCCAAUCUUUGAGCAACUAUUUCUGCACUUUUUGUAUGGGAUCAGGUCCACCACCCUAUAAGAAAGUUGUUCGACUGGUCUUCACUUAUUCUACAAACACCACAGCACAAAACCUUAUAGAAUAGCCACAAAUAGGCUUCAAAACUGAUAUCAAAACACUGAAAUUCAGUUACUGUUUCCAAUCUGAAUAUUCAGAAACACAGCAGCACCACUUUGAACCACUCUUUUUCUUGGGUUCCAAUUGUUUCUAGGGGCAAGUUUCUUAAUAAAGUUUAUACUCCUAUAGUUCCUCUACAAGUUUUAUAUAAUGACCAAUAACAAAAGCCUCUUGGAUCCCAAACUACAAUAGCCCAAAGUUUGCUCCAAUUGCUGAAAUUCAGACUCUGUCUGAAAUCCCCACUUUCAGACAGCUCUACUUUAGGCCAGCUUUUAUCUAUGUUCCAAAUAGCUUUAGGGCUAAGUGUAUUAACAAAACUUAUACUCCUCAUGUAUCUCUAUAACUUUGUUAUAAUGAUCAUCUUCAAACAGUUUAUAGAUCAAAUGUUAUGAGGACCCAAAAACAACUAGUUGAUAUUAUUUUCAGCAAACUUCAAAUCUGAUUCAAAACUGAAUUAAACUUUUUACUCCAACUUUUCCUCUAAAACUUGGAAUUCUCCAUACAUAAAAGUUGUUCAACUUACCAAAAUCUACAACUUUGAUAUAUGGACAACUAGCAAAUUCUCUCUAGAUUUAAAACUCCACUUUUGGGCUAGUUGAGGGUUUCAAAUGUGACUCCUUCUCAUCUAGUGAUUUAUCAACUCAAUCCAUACUUCUAAAAGCCAAGUGACUCCCCUUAAUCUCAAAUCCAACUCUAGUAUAUGAAGCUCAUGUCCAAAGUGUCCUUGGUUUAGGAGUUGUUUUGUUUAUCCACAAUUCCAAGCAAGGUUUUGAAAUCUCACUUAAGGUUUUUAAUGUUAAUCCAGUUCCUCAAUUAAUUCUUCCACUCAACCCACCUUUGAAAGCAAAGUAUUACCUUUAAUACUUCAAAUUCCAAGCCAACUUAUUACUUGCUCAAGAGAUGACUUCUCUUCCCAUGUCUUAAGCAAAGUUCUUAAUCUGAGCCCUAUACUCUAAUAGGGCAACACCAUAUUCACUAAAAAAUUUUGACCUAGUGAAUGCAUUCUAGGUAUAUCAAACAAGAUAAUACAAAUGCUUAUGAUGACAUGUCAGAGUUUUAGUUAACGUAACACCAGGGGUGUUACAAAGAUCUACGUGGUUGGAAUAUUAAAUUAUGAAUUGAUUAUUGUACAUCCAAUGAGAAAAUAUACUCUAAAUAAUCAAUUCAACCUUAACCUAGAUUAUACUUGACUAGAGAUCAUGUUUUAACCACAUUAUGAUUAUGGUUGGGUUAGUUUUGAUUUAGCAGAGUUAAUCUAGUAGACAUAGGAUGAAUAAAUUUCUAACUAUAAAAUCAUGCAAUAUGAUAUAAUUAAUGUUGUUACUGCGUAGAUAAUAUUUUUAUGAAGCAAACGUAACUGGAACGGAUUAAAUCGGAGUUAAGACGCAGAAGAUAUGAUUUUUUCUAAGGUUUUCGGGUUUAUCUUAUAGUUAAAAAUCAAUUUCUUGAUUUAUUCCAAGAAUUACCAAUGUCUCUGGAUGGCGGGUACAAUUUUCUAGGAACGCAAGGGCCAAAGUGUUAAAAACAGGGCCUAAUUGCAAGGUUCUUAGAACUGCCUAGCACUGCGGGUUGUUUAGAGAAAAACUCGGGGGGUCUUUGGAGCAAAGAUGUCAGCCGAAGGGUAAUGAGCCAACUGGGGUCGCCCGAUGAAGGAUCAAGGGCCGAGAUUAUACAGCGAAUCGGUAUGCAACCGCGUCCGCCCGAUCCAUAUCUAACGAUCCAGAUCACUCUAGCCGAAGCGUUAGCCACCAUUUAAUCUGGGUCGCCAGCAGCCAGAUCAAUGGUCGGGAUCUAAACACCGAAGAGGUAUGCCCCGUUCUAAUCUCCACCGUUGACUCCCAGAUCUAUGGCCAGGAAUCAUCGCCUAAGCCUAGCCGUCGAUCUCCAUCCUAACGGACGUGACAUCGUCUUGUUCCUCCCAUCGCCCAGGUAUAGGGCUGCCCGCGCGCCACACACGCGUUCGUAUCCUCCCGACGAACCGCAUGGCUGCGCAAGCAAGGGAAUUAGUUACCCGCGGUACCGCGUGCGGCGCAGCUAAAACCUACGCCCCGAGGAAACACUGAUGAAUCACAGGGACGUUCUCUUACCGUUUUCGAGGCACCAGUGUAGUUGUCCACGGAGACUGGUGGCGCGCCGGAUCUCUUGACGUCGACAACGAGGCACCCGGUCUCCGACACAGUGACCCCGUGGGCGAGUCCUCGCGUAGUGCAAGGAUGCACCAUUGUCUGGCACUGCGUGAAGGUUGCGGACGAGCUCAAUUCUCACCCGCGAAUGGACCCACGUCCUUCUACCCUUGUUUCUCUCUCUUAAUGGCUGCAAUCCAAGCAGCGCACACCCGCCGCUUUUGCUCCAGGUCGACCGAGACGGCCAACAGUUAGGACCAUCCAAUUUAUGGGCAAGCAGAGC